GGGGAUACAGCUCAGUGGUAGAGCAGCUGCUCCCCAUGUGGGAGGUCCUGGGUUCAAUUCCAAGUACCUCCA
This 72-nucleotide transfer RNA is filed under the name Camelus bactrianus (Bactrian camel). It matches the Rfam family "tRNA". From Rfam's summary of the family: Transfer RNA (tRNA) molecules are approximately 80 nucleotides in length. Their secondary structure includes four short double-helical elements and three loops (D, anti-codon, and T loops). The record is from Rfam by way of RNAcentral. RNAcentral also lists the same sequence under 3 other names. Lineage: Eukaryota; Metazoa; Chordata; Mammalia; Artiodactyla; Camelidae.